RNAcentral lists this ribosomal RNA (497 nucleotides) under uncultured bacterium. Its description in RNAcentral is "partial 16S ribosomal RNA". It matches the Rfam family "Bacterial small subunit ribosomal RNA", at positions 28 to 507 of the family's 1533-position model. The record is from RNAcentral.
GAUGAACGCUGGCGGCGUGCCUAAUACAUGCAAGUCGAGCGAACAGACGAGGAGCUUGCUCCUCUGACGUUAGCGGCGGACGGGUGAGUAACACGUGGAUAACCUACCUAUAAGACUGGGAUAACUUCGGGAAACCGGAGCUAAUACCGGAUAAUAUAUUGAACCGCAUGGUUCAAUAGUGAAAGACGGUUUUGCUGUCACUUAUAGAUGGAUCCGCGCCGCAUUAGCUAGUUGGUAAGGUAACGGCUUACCAAGGCAACGAUGCGUAGCCGACCUGAGAGGGGGAUCGGCCAAACUGGAACUGAGACACGGUCCAGACUCCUACGGGAGGCAGCAGUAGGGAAUCUUCCGCAAUGGGCGAAAGCUUGACGGAGCAACGCCGCGUGAGUGAUGAAGGUCUUCGGAUCGUAAAACUCUGUUAUUAGGGAAGAACAAAUGUGUAAGUAACUAUGCACGUCUUGACGGUACCUAAUCAGAAAGCCACGGCUAACUACGUG